This 437-nucleotide ribosomal RNA is filed under the name uncultured bacterium. RNAcentral describes it as "partial 16S ribosomal RNA". It matches the Rfam family "Bacterial small subunit ribosomal RNA", at positions 338 to 795 of the family's 1533-position model. The record is from RNAcentral.
CCUACGGGAGGCAGCAGUAGGGAAUAUUGCACAAUGGGGGAAACCCUGAUGCAGCAAUGCCGCGUGGAGGAUGAAGGUUUUCGGAUUGUAAACUCCUUUUGUUAGAGAAGAUAAUGACGGUAUCUAACGAAUAAGCACCUGCUAACUCCGUGCCAGCAGCCGCGGUAAUACGGGGGGUGCAAGCGUUACUCGGAAUCGCUGGGCGAAACGAGCGCGUAGGCGGGAUAGCAAGUCAGAUGUGAAAUCCUAUGGCUUAACCAUAUAACAGCAUUUGAAACUGUUAUACUAGAGUAUGGGGGAGGUAAGUGGAAUACUUGGUGUAGGGGUAAAAUCCGUAGAGAUCAGGAGGAAUACUCAUUGCGAAGGCGACCUGCUAGAACAUAACUGACGCGGAUGCGCGAAAGCGUGGGGAGCAAACAGGAUUAGAUAGGGUAGUC